Molecule: ribosomal RNA, 422 nt
Filed under: uncultured bacterium
Lineage: Bacteria
Description: partial 16S ribosomal RNA
Rfam family: Bacterial small subunit ribosomal RNA
Source: RNAcentral
AACAUUGGACAAAGGGGGCAACCCUGAUCCAGCCAUGCCGCGUGCGUGAAGAAGGUCUUCGGAUUGUAAAGCACUUUAAGUUGGGAGGAAGGGCUUUAGGCUAAUACCCUGAAGUUUUGACGUUACCAACAGAAUAAGCACCGGCUAACUCUGUGCCAGCAGCCGUGGUAAUAAGGAGGGGGCAUGCGUUAACCGGAAUUACUGGGGGUAAAAGGGGGGGAGGUGGGUCAGUAAGAUGGGUGUGAAAUCCCCGGGCUUAACCUGGGAACUGCUUUCAUAACUGGGGGGCUAGAGUACGGGAGAGGGUAGUGGAAUUUCCUGUGUAGCGGUGAAAUGCGUAGAUAUAGGAAGGAACACCAGUGGCGAAGGCGACUACCUGGACUGAUACUGACACUGAGGUGCAAAAGCGUGGGGAGCAAACA